Molecule: regulatory RNA element, 174 nt
Organism: Mogibacterium sp. CM50
Lineage: Bacteria; Bacillati; Bacillota; Clostridia; Peptostreptococcales; Anaerovoracaceae
Rfam family: Lysine riboswitch aptamer
About the family: Riboswitches are metabolite binding domains within certain messenger RNAs that serve as precision sensors for their corresponding targets. Allosteric rearrangement of mRNA structure is mediated by ligand binding, and this results in modulation of gene expression.
Source: Rfam
UGACUCGAUAGAGGUCGCGGAGCUCAAUAGUAUCCUGUAGCUACAGCUUGGGGAAGCUGCUGCUUGAGAAAGGGAAAUCCGCCGAAGGUCAUAUCUACCCCGAGAUAUUUCCUGGGCCGGUGCAUAAUAUGCGCCGAACUGUCACAUCGUAAAAUGUGGAGCGCUAUCAAUGGU